This 433-nucleotide ribosomal RNA is filed under the name uncultured bacterium. Its description in RNAcentral is "partial 16S ribosomal RNA". It matches the Rfam family "Bacterial small subunit ribosomal RNA", at positions 29 to 507 of the family's 1533-position model. The record is from RNAcentral.
AACGAACGCUGGCGGCAUGCCUAACACAUGCAAGUCGAACGAGACCUUCGGGUCUAGUGGCGCACGGGUGCGUAACGCGUGGGAACCUGCCCUUAGGUUCGGCAUAACUCCCCGAAAGGGGUGCUAAUACCGGAUAAUGUCUUCGGACCAAAGAUUUAUCGCCUUUGGAUGGGCCCGCGUUGGAUUAGCUAGUUGGUAGGGUAAAAGCCUACCAAGGCGACGAUCCAUAGCUGGUCUGAGAGGAUGAUCAGCCACACUGGGACUGAGACACGGCCCAGACUCCUACGGGAGGCAGCAGUGGGGAAUAUUGGACAAUGGGCGAAAGCCUGAUCCAGCAAUGCCGCGUGAGUGAUGAAGGCCGUAGGGUUGUAAAGCGCGUUUACCCGGGAGGAUAAUGACAGUACCGGGAGAAUAAGCUCCGGCUAACUCCGUG